AUUCAAACAAAAACAAAUAUAGAUAUAAUAAAUCAUAACUUUUUUCUUUUUUUAAUGAGAAAUGCAAUAUUAAUACAGCUUAAAAGAUAUAGGUUUUAGUAUUAUGUUAUCACUUAUCUAUUUUUGUUAUCCAUUGUAUACAUGCUCUACCCAUACACACGCCCUAACCAUAAUUACUGAAUUUAGUAAUUAUUGCUAUGACCUAUUCAUUUAUUUCAUAUUUAUGUAUACAACAUCAAGCCAUAUUUGUACAUAGUACGUUUUGAAAUUAAGUUUAGUAGUGUUUUUAACAGGAAAGACAGUUUCAGUAAUUUAUUGCAAUAUAGUUAAUUUAUGAAGAAGAAAUUUAUGUUCAGAGAAAUUUAUGUUCAACUAGUUCUGGAAUGAUUUAUACAAUUCAGUAUUAGAUAACAAAUAAAAUAAAAAUUUGGCAUUGCAUACUUAUUAAAAGCAAUUAAAACAUCAAAGAGGAUGUUGGAACCUCAACCACAUCCAUAAACAAACCCAUAUGUAGGAUAAUACAUCGUGUUGAGCUAAAUAUUUAAAAGAAAAAUUUAAAGCAAGUUUUUACAAUCGACUGAUACUAGCUAUCACUUUUUUUAAACAUAGGUUAUGGAAAAAUUAAUAUUACACAAACUGGUAAAAUCAUGAUUCAAUGUUCAUCCUUUCACUGUGUAUCACGCCCAUGAUUUAACAUUUGAUUGUACAAAAAGCUAUGUGCAUUUCUGCAUCAUAUACAUUAUUAUACAAAUAAUGAACUAAUAAAUUUUCAUCACACUAUA
Molecule: long non-coding RNA, 782 nt
Organism: Wasmannia auropunctata (little fire ant)
Lineage: Eukaryota; Metazoa; Arthropoda; Insecta; Hymenoptera; Formicidae
Exons: 2
Source: RefSeq, a predicted model, not a curated record